GUGAAUCAUCAAAUUUUUGAACGCAAAUUGCACUCUCUUCGGAGAGUAUGCGUGUUUGAGGGUCAGCCUAAAAAAAAAUCGAAAUAGUCGCUGUUUUGGGGUGAAAUUUGUCGGAAAUUGUGUCAUAUUAAAUCUUUGGGUUUUAAGUGGAUUAAUAUUUUUUUUAUGAUUCAAGGAAAGUUUCUAAGAUUUAGUUUUUUUAUGUUUAUGGAUUC
Molecule: unclassified non-coding RNA, 215 nt
Filed under: Glomeraceae sp.
Lineage: Eukaryota; Fungi; Glomeromycota; Glomeromycetes; Glomerales; Glomeraceae
Description: partial contains 5.8S ribosomal RNA and internal transcribed spacer 2
Rfam family: 5.8S ribosomal RNA (bases 1-65)
Source: RNAcentral